UAACGACUCUCGGCAACGGAURNCUCGGCUCUCGCAUCGAUGAAGAACGUAGCGAAAUGCGAUACUUGGUGUGAAUUGCAGAAUCCCGUGAACCAUCGAGUCUUUGAACGCAAGUUGCGCCCGAAGCCAUUAGGCCGAGGGCACGUCUGCCUGGGCGUCAYG
RNAcentral lists this ribosomal RNA (162 nucleotides) under Eremophila polyclada. RNAcentral describes it as "5.8S ribosomal RNA". The record is from RNAcentral. Lineage: Eukaryota; Viridiplantae; Streptophyta; Magnoliopsida; Lamiales; Scrophulariaceae.